AGAGUUUGAUCCUGGCUCAGGACGAACGCUGGCGGCGUGCUUAACACAUGCAAGUCGAACGAUGAAAGCGGGAGCUUGCUCCUGCUGGAUUAGUGGCUAACGGGUGAGUAACACGUGAGCAAUCUGCCCCUGACUCUGGGAUAAGCGUUGGAAACGACGUCUAACACCGGAUACCAGAUGAGACCGCAUGGUCAUCAUCAGGAAAGAAUUUCCGUCAGGGAUGAGCUCGCGGCCUAUCAACUUGUUGGUGAGGUAAUGGCUCAGAAAGGCGACGACCGGUAGCCGGCCUGAGAGGGUGACCGGCCACACUGGGACGGACACACUGUCCAGGCUCCUACAGGAGGCAUCCGUGGGGAAUAUUGCACAAUGGGCGCAAGCCUGAUGCAGCAACUCCGUGUGAGGGAUGAAGGCCUGCUGGUUGUAAACCUCUUUUAUCACGCAAGAAGCCAAAGUGACGGAACCUGCACAAAAAGCUGCCUGCUAACUACGUGCCGGCAGCCGCGGUGAUACGCUACGGCGCAAGCGUUGUCCAGAAUUAUUGGGCGUAAAGAGCUCGAAAGCGGUUUGUCUCGUCUGCUAUGAAAA
RNAcentral lists this ribosomal RNA (585 nucleotides) under uncultured bacterium. Its description in RNAcentral is "bacterial SSU rRNA". It matches the Rfam family "Bacterial small subunit ribosomal RNA", at positions 8 to 600 of the family's 1533-position model. The record is from RNAcentral.